ACUACAUGAAGCUGGAAUCGCUAGUAAUCGCGAAUCAGCAUGUCGCGGUGAAUACGUUCCCGGGUCUUGUACACACCGCCCGUCACACCAUGGGAGUUGGUAACGCCCGAAGCCAGUGACCCAACCGGAAGGAGGGAGCUGUCGAAGGUGGGACCGAUAACUGGGGUGAAGUCGUAACAAGGUAUC
RNAcentral lists this ribosomal RNA (186 nucleotides) under uncultured bacterium. Its description in RNAcentral is "partial 16S ribosomal RNA". It matches the Rfam family "Bacterial small subunit ribosomal RNA", at positions 1315 to 1500 of the family's 1533-position model. The record is from RNAcentral.